UACGGAGGGUGCAAGCGUUAUCCGGAUUCACUGGGCUUAAAGGGUGCGUAGGCGGGCUGGUAAGUCAGUGGUGAAAUCUCCAGGCUUAACUUGGAAACUGCCAUUGAUACUAUCAGUCUUGAAUACCGUGGAGGUCAGCGGAAUAUGUCAUGUAGCGGUGAAAUGCUUAGAUAUGACAUAGAACACCAAUUGCGAAGGCAGCUGGCUACACGAAUAUUGACACUGAUGCACGAAAGCGUGGGGAGCAAACAGG
This 253-nucleotide ribosomal RNA is filed under the name uncultured bacterium. RNAcentral describes it as "partial 16S ribosomal RNA". It matches the Rfam family "Bacterial small subunit ribosomal RNA", at positions 524 to 776 of the family's 1533-position model. The record is from RNAcentral.